Molecule: long non-coding RNA, 1477 nt
Filed under: Ursus maritimus (polar bear)
Lineage: Eukaryota; Metazoa; Chordata; Mammalia; Carnivora; Ursidae
Description: lncRNA (ENSUMAG00000024852.1)
Source: RNAcentral
GGAAGUGGGUACCCUCAGCUAGGAAGCCAGCAGGUGCAGGGUGAGCCCCCAGGCCUGUGUUGAUGUGCCCUGGGGAAGAGGCCGGGAAUAUCAGGAAGCAGAGACAGUUGCCAUGGGAGGGGGACUCUGCAGGAGCCAGUCCCUUCCCUGCACCCUGUAAGUCCCAAACCAACUGGGAAAGGGACACACAUGUUCCAAAUGCAUCCAAGAGCAGCUCUUUGACUAGAAAAGGUGCUUUUCGAUGGACCUCAGUGACACGGCCUCCAGCACGGCUGACCCAAGCAGACUCCUGCCUUCCUCACCCCCCGCCCCGGGCAGUCAGCAUGACCCUCUCUGUUCUCUCCAGCCCCUUUUGGUCUUCGGCGCCCUGGGAAACGUCCUCGCCCUGUGCCUGGCCUGUCACAGGGCAAGAAGAUCAACUCAAAGGGGUCCCCCUGGCCCGCCCGGCGGUGCCCGACCUCCUGCUCACCCUGGCCCUGCCCAGAAGGGUCACCUGUCACGUGCUGGACUACAGCUGGCCUCUCGGUGAAGGACUCUGCAGGCUGACGGUGCUCCUUCUCUCACACCUACGGGGGUCUGCCUCAGGGCGUGUGUGAGCCCGGACCGCCACCUGGCUGUGGUCGGCGCCCACCAGCGCCCACCNNNNNNNNNNNNNNNNNNNNNNGGCCCGUCUGGUGGCUCCCCGGGCCUUGGCCCUGCCGCAGACGGCGCCCCUGCGCUUCCUCCCCAUGACCAAGUGGGUGGCGGGCACGCUGACCUGCAUGGAGUAUGACAGCGUCGAGGGAAUCCCCAGGCUGCCCCACGGGGUCCUGGCGGCCUGUGCUUCUGUGGGCCGGUGGGGAUCAUACUAUUUUGUUACCUGAAGAUCACCUUGAAGCUGUGCGGGACAGCCCGGAGAGCCUGCCUGCUCACCCUGGUGGCCCUGGUGGCCGUGGUGGCAGUGGUUGUGGGGUUCAGCCCCUACCACCUCAACAUCAGCCGGUUCAUGCUGAGAGAGACGCUCCACCCGCCGUCCUGCCCGGAGCAGGGGGCUUUCAGGCUGUCCCUUCAGCUCACCGUGCCCCUCAUGAACGCGAACUGGCAUUGACCCCAUCACUUAUGUCUUCGCAUCGACACGGUACAGGAGAUGGCUCCUCAGCAUUUUAAAACUCGGGGUGUCCGCAUCCUCCUCCUGCCAGGGAAGGGCUUCCUCAGAAACACCAAGUCAUCAACCAGCCUGGAGCCUUAGUGCCCUUGGAAGGGAAUGAGGUCUGAUAGGUCAUGGGCUUUAAGACUGUAUCUCCAGUGAGGGGUCCAGGAUUGGAGUCUGAGGCGUAGAGUAAUUUGAGGGGUGGGUUCUUGAAGAAAAAGAGUAUAAAGACAAAAUUAGGUGCAGAGUCUUGGAUGGUGAGGGGCCCCGAAGCUUGAGCUUGCUAGCUUCAUGACGAAGCACUUCUAAUGUAUCACAAUAAAUACUACGGGAGCUCCCCGGCCUCUG